GGGAGACAGGUGGUGCGAUGGUUGUCGUCAGCUCGUGUCGUGAGAUGUUGGGUUAAGUCCCGCAACGAGCGCAACCCUACGUUUAGUUGCUAACGCGUGAAGGCGAGCACUCUAGACGAACUGCCGUUGACAAAACGGAGGAAGGUGGGGAUGACGUCAAAUCAUCAUGCCCCUUAUGUUCUGGGCUACACACGUGCUACAAUGGCCGGUACAGACGGACGCAAAGCCGCGAGGUGGAGCAAAUCCUAAAAAGCCGGUCUCAGUUCGGAUUGCAGGCUGCAAUUCGCCUGCAUGAAGUCGGAAUCGCUAGUAAUCGCAGGUCAGCAUACUGCGGUGAAUACGUUCCCGGGCCUU
RNAcentral lists this ribosomal RNA (354 nucleotides) under uncultured Pelotomaculum sp. RNAcentral's name for it is "bacterial SSU rRNA". It matches the Rfam family "Bacterial small subunit ribosomal RNA", at positions 1029 to 1382 of the family's 1533-position model. Lineage: Bacteria; Bacillati; Bacillota; Clostridia; Eubacteriales; Desulfotomaculaceae. The record is from RNAcentral.